AACUUUGCGCUUGGGUCAAUGACGCAGCUAGUGAGUUUCUAACCGAGGCGCGUCAAUUGCUGGUUGAAAACUAUUUCCAAACCCCCUCUUAGGCCUGGGUUUGAGCCCAGGCCUUCCAGAAUUUCUGGAAGGGCUCCCCGAGAAUUUCUGGAAGGGCU
Small nuclear RNA from Cucurbita moschata (crookneck pumpkin), 158 nucleotides. RefSeq annotates it as U4 spliceosomal RNA. The record is from RefSeq and is a predicted model, not a curated record. Lineage: Eukaryota; Viridiplantae; Streptophyta; Magnoliopsida; Cucurbitales; Cucurbitaceae. The transcript has a single exon.